This 63-nucleotide transfer RNA is filed under the name Margattea cuspidata. Its description in RNAcentral is "tRNA-Glu". It matches the Rfam family "tRNA". Rfam says of the family: Transfer RNA (tRNA) molecules are approximately 80 nucleotides in length. Their secondary structure includes four short double-helical elements and three loops (D, anti-codon, and T loops). Lineage: Eukaryota; Metazoa; Arthropoda; Insecta; Blattodea; Pseudophyllodromiidae. The record is from RNAcentral.
AUUUAUGUAGUUUAUCUAAAACAUUACACUUUCACUGUAAAAAUAAAUUACCUUUCAUAAAUA